This 498-nucleotide ribosomal RNA is filed under the name uncultured soil bacterium. RNAcentral's name for it is "bacterial SSU rRNA". It matches the Rfam family "Bacterial small subunit ribosomal RNA", at positions 26 to 519 of the family's 1533-position model. The record is from RNAcentral.
AGAUUGAACGCUGGCGGCAGGCCUAACACAUGCAAGUCGAGCGACAGCACGGGUACUUGUACCUGGUGGCGAGCGGCGGACGGGUGAGUAAUGCCUAGGAAUCUGCCUGAUAGUGGGGGAUAACGUUCGGAAACGGACGCUAAUACCGCAUACGUCCUACGGGAGAAAGUGGGGGAUCUUCGGACCUCACGCUAUCAGAUGAGCCUAGGUCGGAUUAGCUAGUUGGUAGGUAAAGGCCUACCAAGGCUACGAUCCGUAACUGGUCUGAGAGGAUGAUCAGUCACACUGGAACUGAGACACGGUCCAGACUCCUACGGGAGGCAGCAGUGGGGAAUAUUGGACAAUGGGCGAAAGCCUGAUCCAGCCAUGCCGCGUGUGUGAAGAAGGUCUUCGGAUUGUAAAGCACUUUAAGUUGGAGAAGGCAUUAACCUAAUACGUUAGUGUUUUGACGUUACCGACAGAAUAAGCUCCGGACUAACUCUGUCGCCAGCAGCCGUA